This 301-nucleotide ribosomal RNA is filed under the name uncultured bacterium. RNAcentral describes it as "partial 16S ribosomal RNA". It matches the Rfam family "Bacterial small subunit ribosomal RNA", at positions 509 to 807 of the family's 1533-position model. The record is from RNAcentral.
CAGCCGCCGCGGUAAUACGUAGGUGGCAAGCGUUAUCCGGAAUUAUUGGGCGUAAAGCGCGCGUAGGCGGUUUUUUAAGUCUGAUGUGAAAGCCCACGGCUCAACCGUGGAGGGUCAUUGGAAACUGGAAAACUUGAGUGCAGAAGAGGAAAGUGGAAUUCCAUGUGUAGCGGUGAAAUGCGCAGAGAUAUGGAGGAACACCAGUGGCGAAGGCGACUUUCUGGUCUGUAACUGACGCUGAUGUGCGAAAGCGUGGGGAUCAAACAGGAUUAGAUACCCGCGUAGUCCCUGUCUCUUAUAC